This 221-nucleotide long non-coding RNA is filed under the name Elaeis guineensis (African oil palm). RNAcentral describes it as "long non-coding RNA (EGUI_LNC016950)". The record is from RNAcentral. Lineage: Eukaryota; Viridiplantae; Streptophyta; Magnoliopsida; Arecales; Arecaceae.
GCCCUUAUAUUCAUAGGUUCGCAUACAUUAGUAUGUAUUAGACCUAUGACAUCACUGGUUCUUUCAUUUUUUUUUUUUAAAAGGUGACUUAGUCAUCUUACCAAGUAGACAGGACUCACAGGUAGGUAAUGAUUCAUAAUCAUCCAUCUCAAGGAUACGUUCUUUGAUCAAUCUGUCAAUCCUACUCUUAUUUACAUGAUCAAGCCUACAAUGCCAAAGAU